CAAUAGCGUAUAUUAAAGUUGUUGCGGUUAAAAAGCUCGUAGUUGGAUUUCUGCUUUGGGCGUCCGGUCCACCCUCUGGGUGAGUAUCUGGUUCGACCAAUGCAUCCGAUUGCGGUACGCCCUAUGCUUCACUGUGUGGGGCGGAACGUAGUCCUUUUACUUUGAGGAAAUUAGAGUGUUUCAAGCAGGCUUCCGCCUUGAAUACAUUAGCAUGGAAUAAUAAGAUAGGACCUCGGUUCUAUUUUGUUGGUUUCUAGAACUGAGGUAAUGAUUAAUAGGGAUAGUUGGGGGCAUUCGUAUUUAACUGUCAGAGGUGAAAUUCUUGGAUUUGUUAAAGACGAACUACUGCGAAAGCAUCUGCCAAGGAUGUUUNCAUUGA
This 379-nucleotide ribosomal RNA is filed under the name uncultured eukaryote. RNAcentral's name for it is "partial 18S ribosomal RNA". It matches the Rfam family "Eukaryotic small subunit ribosomal RNA", at positions 592 to 976 of the family's 1831-position model. The record is from RNAcentral.